Molecule: small nuclear RNA, 106 nt
Organism: Euleptes europaea (tarantolino)
Lineage: Eukaryota; Metazoa; Chordata; Lepidosauria; Squamata; Sphaerodactylidae
Source: RefSeq, a predicted model, not a curated record
GUAAUCCUAAGCACAGCACAUAUACUAAAAUUGGAAUGAUACAGAAAAGAUUAGUAUGUCCCUGAGUAAGAAUGACAUGCAAAUUAAUGAAAGGAAAGUAAGUGUA